GGAGACGUGGCCGAGUGGUCGAAGGCACGCCCCUGCUAAGGGCGCAGACCCGAAAGGGUCUCGAGGGUUCGAAUCCCUUCGUCUCCGCCA
This 90-nucleotide transfer RNA is filed under the name Paracoccaceae bacterium. RNAcentral describes it as "Rhodobacteraceae bacterium (grounwater metagenome) tRNA-Ser". It matches the Rfam family "tRNA". From Rfam's summary of the family: Transfer RNA (tRNA) molecules are approximately 80 nucleotides in length. Their secondary structure includes four short double-helical elements and three loops (D, anti-codon, and T loops). The record is from RNAcentral. Lineage: Bacteria; Pseudomonadati; Pseudomonadota; Alphaproteobacteria; Rhodobacterales; Paracoccaceae. RNAcentral also lists the same sequence under 3 other names.